GAUGAACGCUGGCGGCGUGCCUAAUACAUGCAAGUCGAGCGAACGGACGAGAAGCUUGCUUCUCUGAUGUUAGCGGCGGACGGGUGAGUAACACGUGGAUAACCAACCUAUAAGACGGGGAUAACUUCGGGAAACCGGAGCUAUUACCGGAUAAUUUUUUGAACCGCAUGGUCCAAAAGUAAAAGACGGCCUUGCGGUCACUAAUAAUUGGACCCGCGUUGCAUUAGCUAGUUGGUAAGGUAACGGCUUACCAAGGCAACGAUGCAUAGCCGACCUGAGAGGGUGAUCGGCCACACUGGAACUGAGACACGGUCCAGACUCCUACGGGAGGCAGCAGUAGGGAAUCUUCCGCAAUGGGCGAAAGCCUGACGGAGCAACGCCGCGUGAGUGAUGAAGGUCUUCGGAUCGUAAAACUCUGUUAUUAGGGAAGAACAUAUGUGUAAGUAACUGUGCACAUCUUGACGGUACCUAAUCAGAAAGCCACGGCUAACUACGUG
This 497-nucleotide ribosomal RNA is filed under the name uncultured bacterium. RNAcentral's name for it is "partial 16S ribosomal RNA". It matches the Rfam family "Bacterial small subunit ribosomal RNA", at positions 28 to 507 of the family's 1533-position model. The record is from RNAcentral.